GGGCCAGUGGCGCAAUGGAUAACGUGUCUGACUACGGAUCAGAAGUUUUUAGGUUCGACUCCUGGCUGGCUUG
Molecule: non-coding RNA, 73 nt
Organism: Salmo salar (Atlantic salmon)
Lineage: Eukaryota; Metazoa; Chordata; Actinopteri; Salmoniformes; Salmonidae
Source: Rfam